Molecule: non-coding RNA, 30 nt
Filed under: Mus musculus (house mouse)
Lineage: Eukaryota; Metazoa; Chordata; Mammalia; Rodentia; Muridae
Source: RNAcentral
UGCAAUUUUUUUUAAACCUUUCUUUGGGCC